UAUACAUGCAAGUCGAGCGAAUCGAUGGGAGCUUGCUCCCUGAGAUUAGCGGCGGACGGGUGAGUAACACGUGGGCAACCUGCCUAUAAGACUGGGAUAACUUCGGGAAACCGGAGCUAAUACCGGAUACGUUCUUUUCUCGCAUGAGAGAAGAUGGAAAGACGGUUUACGCUGUCACUUAUAGAUGGGCCCGCGGCGCAUUAGCUAGUUGGUGAGGUAAUGGCUCACCAAGGCGACGAUGCGUAGCCGACCUGAGAGGGUGAUCGGCCACACUGGGACUGAGACACGGCCCAGACUCCUACGGGAGGCAGCAGUAGGGAAUCUUCCGCAAUGGACGAAAGUCUGACGGAGCAACGCCGCGUGAACGAAGAAGGCCUUCGGGUCGUAAAGUUCUGUUGUUAGGGAAGAACAAGUACCAGAGUAACUGCUGGUACCUUGACGGUACCUAACCAGAAAGCCACGGCUAACUACGUGCCAGCAGCCGCGGUAAUACGUAGGUGGCAAGCGUUGUCCGGAAUUAUUGGGCGUAAAGCGCGCGCAGGUGGUUCUUUAAGUCUGAUGUGAAAGCCCACGGCUCAACCGUGGAGGGUCAUUGGAAACUGGGGAACUUGAGUGCAGAAGAGGAAAGU
Molecule: ribosomal RNA, 629 nt
Filed under: Peribacillus simplex
Lineage: Bacteria; Bacillati; Bacillota; Bacilli; Caryophanales; Bacillaceae
Description: bacterial SSU rRNA
Rfam family: Bacterial small subunit ribosomal RNA
Source: RNAcentral